GAAAUCGGCAUGAUUCAGGAUUUUAAAGAAACUGUUUUGAGAAAACAUGCAUAACUCCUAGGUUAUAACUCCAAUUUUGAUGAUCUUUAUACCGUUAGAAAGGUCUUUUGAUUAACUAAAAACUUUGUGAACAGUAGGACUUCUAAUUCAAACGUUUUAUGAGUCAAAUUCUAAGCUAAACUUGCUAUACAGUAAGAGUAAUAAAUAUAUUGAGUUUAUCGGUGGACUAAGGGUUUCACUAAUUGUUAUAGGGCCUAGAAGGUAUUGUAGGAGUUAAUUACAGCGGAGUUGAGGUAAGAAAAAAUAAUUAUACUUUAUACUUGCUUUUUAUAUGGUUUGAGUACCUAGUAUGACUGCUUGAAUAAAUUGUAUUGAAACUGUGGAAUGUGAUGGUUUCGGUGAAAUACUGUUUUGUCGAUGGAUUGUAUAUGGCUGUUUAAUUAUGUUCCAGGUACUUGGAAGUGGUUGGAAACCACACAUGUAUGGUGAUGUGGUAAGUGAGGCAGUGUACGUAAGGGUGCACUGGUUAUUGGUACUGCUUUCUGGUUAAGAACGUAAGACACUCCAGAUUUGUAUGGAAGCUGGAGUGUGAAUGUGUGGUAUUUCAGUAUUUGUGUGGUUGCCUCUAUUUAUACUUAUGAUUAGUUUGUUGUAUGUUUGAUGUAUAUGUUUGUGCUAUGAUGUGUGAAUGCUGGUACAUAGUAUUUUGUUUUUCCUUACUGGGCUUUGCAGCUCACCCCUUAUUUACCCCCUAUGUGCAGAUAAGUAAGCCUGUAAGCUUUCGGUGACAAGUUGAGUCUGGGCAACAUGGGGUGUAUCUCGUGUGAUCAUGUAACUGCGUGUGGUCUUGGCCAUCUUCCGCUGAAAGUCUUUUUUUAAAAAAAUUUAUUAAACUUAUCGAGGAUGUUGUCGUUUAAAUUUUCUAUUACUUUUACCUAAGUAGUAAUACUUUAUUUUCAACUGGGUACCCAUGUUUUGAAAAUUGUUAUUUUUUUUUUAAUAAAGGCAACAUUAGUAUCUUAAUGCCAGUUUAUUUAUGGCAUCUUAUUUUACGUAAGUAAGGGCGUUACAAAAAACCAAGUCAGCUUUUACUUUUUCUAUUCAUUCACGCUACCACCUCUUACAUAUUUAAAAGUUCUCUCAUAAAUACACUUAUCUAGAAUCAAGCCACCUCUUCCCUUCUUAUUUAUUCACCCUACCAAACCUAAAUUAUUGUGCUUCUUUUUCGUUAAUUUAGGGCUUACUUCUUCUUUUCCCUUUGCGCUUCUUCUUCUUAAAUCUAAGCUGGCUCACUUCAUCUUCUUAUUGAGGGUGUAGGAUCAUCAAUGUAGGCCAACAACUUUAAGAGGAAGUCGAUUUAAGUCUGAAGAUUACUACAUAAGGUAUUCAAUCCUCCUAAUGUUCAAGAACACAUUGCAGAUUUUACUGGAGUUGUGCCUUGUUUCACGUUUCUGUGCUACGAAGUUAAGAAUGGAGUUACAGUUUAUCAUUUUGUGUUUUAUUGAAAUGCCCUAAUUUAGUCUCUGUAGUUGUUGGAAUAGAUAAUAAAUUUAGUUUGUUAUUGGUGUUUUAUUACUAAGUUCAGAAUAAACUUAUAGUUUAUCAUUUUGUGUUUUAUUGAAAUCCCCCAAUUUAGUUUCUGUAUUUGUUGGAAGUGGAUAAUAAAUUUAGUUUGUUAUUUGUGUUUUACUAAAGACUUCAACUUUUUUCUUUAUUUGUUAUCAUA
This is a long non-coding RNA of Cannabis sativa, 1726 nucleotides long. RefSeq lists it as uncharacterized. The transcript has 3 exons. Lineage: Eukaryota; Viridiplantae; Streptophyta; Magnoliopsida; Rosales; Cannabaceae. The record is from RefSeq and is a predicted model, not a curated record.